RNAcentral lists this ribosomal RNA (891 nucleotides) under Megabalanus ajax. RNAcentral describes it as "partial 16S large subunit ribosomal RNA". The stretch from base 387 to 891 matches the Rfam family "Archaeal large subunit ribosomal RNA", at positions 1423 to 2595 of the family's 2987-position model. Lineage: Eukaryota; Metazoa; Arthropoda; Thecostraca; Balanomorpha; Balanidae. The record is from RNAcentral.
AAAGAUCUAGGUAAGUUUGAAAGUUUUUGUGUCAAAAAAAUUUUUUAAGUCUGCUUAGGGGUGAAAUUCUAAUCGCUUUUAUUAAUAUCUAGUAACUUCAGAAAUAAAUUCAGUUUAGAACGUAUAGGGAGAUUUUAAUUUAAAAAUUGUUCUUAAAACGUUUUUAGAUUUUAGGGGAUGAGCUCUAAAGUCAUUUUAAAAGAUUCGAUUAUAUUGUUUUUUUCAUAGGCUUAGAAUUAGCUAUAAGAAAGUGUUAUAAAAUAUAAGACUAGGUUUAAGAUUUAUUGUUCUUUUUUGUUUAUGAAGUUAUUUUAAAAAUUUUUUAAAGAAAGAAAAUAUGAUAACAUUAGUAGAUAAUAGGAUAAAGAAUAUCAUUUUAAAUUAUUCUCAGGAGUUUAAAUAAAAUAAAUUUUACAGAAGAACUCGGCAAAUGAAAUUUCCGAAUGUUUAACAAAAACAUUUCCUCUUAGUAAAGGAGGUAAGGCCUGCUCACUGAAUUUUAAAGAGCCGCAGUAUCCUAACUGUGCUAAGGUAGCAUAAUCAUUAGUCUUUUAAUUGGAGACUGGUAUGAAUGGCUAAACGAGAGAUUGACUUUUUUUGUAAUAAAAAUUGAAUUUAAUUUUUUAGUGAAAAAGCUAAAAUUUUUCAGAAAGACGAGAAGACCCUAUAGAGUUUCAUACCUCAAAAUAUUUUUUUUAAGUGGAUGUUUCAAACAAAGUGUUGUUGGGUAUUUUGUUGGGGCGACAUUAAGAUAAAUAAAACUCUUUUUUUUAAAAAUUUUUAUAGAAAUAUAUUUAUGAUCCUUUAAAAAAGAUCAAAAGAAAAAAUUACCUUAGGGAUAACAGCGUAAUCUUUUUUGAGAGUUCUAAUCGACAAAAAGGUUUGCGACCU